GAUGAACGCUGGCGGUAUGCUUAACACAUGCAAGUCGAACGGUCACUUCGGUGAUAGUGGCGGACGGGUGAGUAACGCGUGAGAAUCUGUCUUCAGGUCGGGGACAACAGUUAGAAAUGACUGCUAAUACCGGAUGUGCCUUUGGGUGAAAGAUUUAUUGCCUGAAAAAGAGCUCGCGUCAGAUUAGCUAGUAGGUGGUGUAAGAGACUACCUAGGCUCCGAUCUGUAGCUGGUCUGAGAGGACGAUCAGCCACACUGGAACUGAGACACGGUCCAGACUCCUACGGGAGGCAGCAGUGGGGAAUUUUCCGCAAUGGGCGAAAGCCUGACGGAGCAAUACCGCGUGAGGGACGAAGGCUUUUGGGUCGUAAACCUCUUUUCUCAAGGAAGAUGAUGACGGUACUUGAGAAAUAAGCAUCGGCUAACUCUGUG
This 432-nucleotide ribosomal RNA is filed under the name uncultured bacterium. RNAcentral's name for it is "partial 16S ribosomal RNA". It matches the Rfam family "Bacterial small subunit ribosomal RNA", at positions 28 to 507 of the family's 1533-position model. The record is from RNAcentral.